GCACCAGACUCCUACGGGAGGCAGCAGUGGGGAAUAUUGCACAAUGGGGGGAACCUUGAUGCAGCAACGCCGCGUGGGUGAAGAAGUACUCUGGUAUGUAAAGCCCUGUCAGCAGGGAAGAAAAUGACGGUACCUGACCAAGAAGCUCCGGCUAACUACGUGCCAGCAGCCGCGGUAAUACGUAGGGAGCGAGCGUUGUCCGGAAUUACUGGGUGUAAAGGGAGCGUAGGCGGGAUUGCAAGUUGGAUGUGAAAACUGCGGGCUCAACCCGGAGCGUGCAUUCAAAACUGCGAUUCUUGAGUGAAGUAGAGGCAAGCGGAAUUCCUAGUGUAGCGGUGAAAUGCGUAGAUAUUAGGAGGAACACCAGUGGCGAAGGCGGCUUGCUGGGCUUUUACUGACGCUGAGGCUCGAAAGCGUGGGGAGCAAACAGGAUUAGAUACCCCAGUAUG
This 449-nucleotide ribosomal RNA is filed under the name uncultured bacterium. Its description in RNAcentral is "bacterial SSU rRNA". It matches the Rfam family "Bacterial small subunit ribosomal RNA", at positions 328 to 793 of the family's 1533-position model. The record is from RNAcentral.